RNAcentral lists this unclassified non-coding RNA (428 nucleotides) under fungal sp. RNAcentral's name for it is "partial internal transcribed spacer region". The stretch from base 1 to 46 matches the Rfam family "Eukaryotic small subunit ribosomal RNA", at positions 1786 to 1831 of the family's 1831-position model. Lineage: Eukaryota; Fungi. The record is from RNAcentral.
AAGUCGUAACAAGGUUUCCGUAGGUGAACCUGCGGAAGGAUCAUUACCGAAAAACAUAAAGAACCUUGGCCGAAAAGAAUAAACACGUUUGUUUGCGCAAUCGUGUGUAUUCUUUUCAGCCAUUGUCCUUUUCAACCCCUUGUGUGAACCAUCAUCGAUGUCUAUGUGUUGUGACGUUGGCGUAUACGUGCACAUUCAUCAUCAUCCAUCGCAAGAUGGUGUUGACGUAUGUGUGCGUGUGCUGCUACACCGUCACACGCAUGAUUCACUCCGAUUAUAUCAACAUACAAAUCGAGUAGUAGGAUGCACAACGUUCAGUACUAUUAUGUGUUGUCGUCGUCAUCAUACUGCUUGAAUGAAACCACAGGACUUAUAUAGCUUCUGUUUAUAAACCAAAACAACUUUUAACAACGGAUCUCUAGGCUCUC